CCAAUAGCGUAUAUUAAAGUUGUUGCAGUUAAAAAGCUCGUAGUUGAAUUUCGGGAUUAGUACGUUGGUCGUGCCUUCGGUACGUACUGGUGUUACUGAUUCCUACCUUCUGACGAACCAUCAUGUCAUUAAUUUGGUGUGGCGGGGAAUCAGGACUGUUACUUUGAAAAAAUUAGAGUGUUUAAAGCAGGCUCGCGCUUGAAUACAUUAGCAUGGAAUAAUGAAAUAGGACGUUGACCCUAUUUUGUUGGUUUCUAGGAUUGACGUAAUGAUUAAUAGGGAUAGUUGGGGGCAUUAGUAUUCAAUUGUCAGAGGUGAAAUUCUUGGAUUUAUUGAAGGCUAACUACUGCGAAAGCAUUUGCCAAGGAUGUUUUCAUUAAUCAAGAACGAAAGUUAGGGGAUCGAAGACGAUCAGAUACCGUCGUAGUCUUAACCAUAAACUAUGCCGACUAGGGAUCGGAUGAUGUUAUUUUUAAUGACUCAUUCGGCGCCUUACG
Molecule: ribosomal RNA, 497 nt
Filed under: uncultured Glomeromycotina
Lineage: Eukaryota; Fungi; Glomeromycota
Description: partial small subunit ribosomal RNA
Rfam family: Eukaryotic small subunit ribosomal RNA
Source: RNAcentral